AACCCAGCCGAACUUCAGGCGAGGUCUACGGAACCGAAGGUCGCAGGUUCGAAUCCUGCCGGG
This 63-nucleotide transfer RNA is filed under the name Thermoleophilaceae bacterium. Its description in RNAcentral is "tRNA-OTHER". The record is from RNAcentral. Lineage: Bacteria; Bacillati; Actinomycetota; Thermoleophilia; Thermoleophilales; Thermoleophilaceae.